RNAcentral lists this ribosomal RNA (527 nucleotides) under Kiskunsagia ubrizsyi. Its description in RNAcentral is "SSU rRNA". It matches the Rfam family "Eukaryotic small subunit ribosomal RNA", at positions 33 to 564 of the family's 1831-position model. The record is from RNAcentral. Lineage: Eukaryota; Fungi; Ascomycota; Dothideomycetes; Pleosporales; Lophiostomataceae.
UGUCUCAAAGAUUAAGCCAUGCAUGUCUAAGUAUAAGCAAUUAUACCGUGAAACUGCGAAUGGCUCAUUAAAUCAGUUAUCGUUUAUUUGAUAGUACCUUACUACUUGGAUAACCGUGGUAAUUCUAGAGCUAAUACAUGCUGAAAACCCCGACUUCGGAAGGGGUGUAUUUAUUAGAUAAAAAACCAAUGCCCUUCGGGGCUCUUUGGUGAUUCAUGAUAACUUAACGGAUCGCAUGGCCUUGCGCCGGCGACGGUUCAUUCAAAUUUCUGCCCUAUCAACUUUCGAUGGUAAGGUAUUGGCUUACCAUGGUUUCAACGGGUAACGGGGAAUUAGGGUUCGGUUCCGGAGAGGGAGCCUGAGAAACGGCUACCACAUCCAAGGAAGGCAGCAGGCGCGCAAAUUACCCAAUCCCGACACGGGGAGGUAGUGACAAUAAAUACUGAUACAGGGCUCUUUUGGGUCUUGUAAUUGGAAUGAGUACAAUUUAAACCCCUUAACGAGGAACAAUUGGAGGGCAAGUCUGG